RNAcentral lists this ribosomal RNA (429 nucleotides) under Pseudomonadota bacterium. RNAcentral's name for it is "Proteobacteria bacterium partial 16S ribosomal RNA". It matches the Rfam family "Bacterial small subunit ribosomal RNA", at positions 355 to 776 of the family's 1533-position model. Lineage: Bacteria; Pseudomonadati; Pseudomonadota. The record is from RNAcentral.
UGGGGAAUAUUGGACAAUGGGCGAAAGCCUGAUCCAGCCAUGCCGCGUGUGUGAAGAAGGUCUUCGUAUUGUAAAGCACUUUAAGUUGGGAGGAAGGGCAGUAAGCGAAUACCUUGCUGUUUUGACGUUACCGACAGAAUAAGCACCGGCUAACUCUGUGCCAGCAGCCGCGGUAAUACAGAGGGUGCAAGCGUUAAUCGGAAUUACUGGGCGUAAAGCGCGCGUAGGUGGUUCGUUAAGUUGAAUGUGAAAGCCCCGGGCUCAACCUGGGAACUGCUUCCAAAACUGGCGAGCUAGAGUAGGGCAGAGGGUGGUGGAAUUUCCUGUGUAGCGGUGAAAUGCGUAGAUAUAGGAAGGAACACCAGUGGCGAAGGCGACCACCUGGGCUCAUACUGACACUGAGGUGCGAAAGCGUGGGGAGCAAACAGG